AUGCAAGUCGAGCGGACAGAUGGGAGCUUGCUCCCUGAUGUUAGCGGCGGACGGGUGAGUAACACGUGGGUAACCUGCCUGUAAGACUGGGAUAACUCCGGGAAACCGGGGCUAAUACCGGAUGGUUGUUUGAACCGCAUGGUUCAGACAUAAAGGUGGCUUCGGCUACCACUUACAGAUGGACCCGCGGCGCAUUAGCUAGUUGGUGAGGUAACGGCUCACCAAGGCGACGAUGCGUAGCCGACCUGAGAGGGUGAUCGGCAACACUGGGACUGAGACACGGCCCAGACUCCUACGGGAGGCAGCAGUAGGGAAUCUUCCGCAAUGGACGAAAGUCUGACGGAGCAACGCCGCGUGAGUGAUGAAGGUUUUCGGAUCGUAAAGCUCUGUUGUUAGGGAAGAACAAGUGCCGUUCAAAUAGGGCGGCACCUUGACGGUACCUAACCAGAAAGCCACGGCUAACUACGUGCCAGCAGCCGCGGUAAUACGUAGGUGGCAAGCGUUGUCCGGAAUUAUUGGGCGUAAAGGGCUCGCAGGCGGUUUCUUAAGUCUGAUGUGAAAGCCCCCGGCUCAACCGGGGAGGGUCAUUGGAAACUGGGGAACUUGAGUGCAGAAGAGGAGAGUGG
Molecule: ribosomal RNA, 626 nt
Filed under: Bacillus amyloliquefaciens
Lineage: Bacteria; Bacillati; Bacillota; Bacilli; Caryophanales; Bacillaceae
Description: bacterial SSU rRNA
Rfam family: Bacterial small subunit ribosomal RNA
Source: RNAcentral